AGACAACUUGCUACAGGCCAAGAAGUUGAUGUUUCAAGCAAGAAGAAUAACAGUGGUAGGAAGAGGAAAGAACUAGAUCUGUCGGGAACAACUACAAUCUCUUUGAACAAAAGAAGAACAAUCCAUUCUCUUGCAAGGUGUUUAGGUGUUCCCCAGUCAACCCUACAUGACAGAUUUCAGUUGCAAGAGUUGAAACGCAUCACGAGCACCAUCAAACCCACCCUCAAGCCAGAGAACAAGAUAGCGAGACUAAAGUUCUGCCUAUCCAUGAUGGAUGAAAGAUGGAUAUCAAGUCCUUGGCCUAGUUUCAAGAUAAUGACAAAUAUGGUCCACAUCGAUGAGAAAUGGUAUGACAUGACCCGAGUGAAGAGUAGCUACUAUGUACUGCCUGGAGAAGAACAACCAAAUCGAACUGUGCACAAUACUCAUAGAAUUGGGAAGGUAAUGUUUCUAACAGCUGUGGCCAAACCUCGCUAUAAUGAAGAUGGGGAGAUGACAUUUGAUGGAAAGCUUGGAAUUUGGCCGUUCGUGAUAGAGACCGAGGCACAACGAACAAGCCAUGACAGAGAUAGGGGGACAAUAGAGUUGAGGCCGGCAAAGUUACUAGACCUGUGUGCAGAGAUUACCUGA
This 630-nucleotide ribosomal RNA is filed under the name Triticum aestivum (bread wheat). RNAcentral describes it as "partial small subunit ribosomal RNA". Lineage: Eukaryota; Viridiplantae; Streptophyta; Magnoliopsida; Poales; Poaceae. The record is from RNAcentral.